UGGGGAAUUUUGGACAAUGGGCGCAAGCCUGAUCCAGCCAUGCCGCGUGUCUGAAGAAGGCCUUCGGGUUGUAAAGGACUUUUGUCAGGGAAGAAAAGGCUGUUGCUAAUAUCGACAGCUGAUGACGGUACCUGAAGAAUAAGCACCGGCUAACUACGUGCCAGCAGCCGCGGUAAUACGUAGGGUGCGAGCGUUAAUCGGAAUUACUGGGCGUAAAGCGAGCGCAGACGGUUACUUAAGCAGGAUGUGAAAUCCCCGGGCUCAACCUGGGAACUGCGUUCUGAACUGGGUGACUAGAGUGUGUCAGAGGGAGGUAGAAUUCCACGUGUAGCAGUGAAAUGCGUAGAGAUGUGGAGGAAUACCGAUGGCGAAGGCAGCCUCCUGGGAUAACACUGACGUUCAUGCUCGAAAGCGUGGGUAGCAAACAGGAUUAGAUACCCUGGUAGUCCACGCCCUAAACGAUGUCAAUUAGCUGUUGGGCAACUUGAUUGCUUAGUAGCGUAGCUAACGCGUGAAAUUGACCGCCUGGGGGAGUACGGUCGCAAGAUUA
RNAcentral lists this ribosomal RNA (550 nucleotides) under uncultured bacterium. Its description in RNAcentral is "bacterial SSU rRNA". It matches the Rfam family "Bacterial small subunit ribosomal RNA", at positions 355 to 896 of the family's 1533-position model. The record is from RNAcentral.